This 105-nucleotide ribosomal RNA is filed under the name Nitrososphaerota archaeon. Its description in RNAcentral is "Thaumarchaeota archaeon partial 23S ribosomal RNA". It matches the Rfam family "Archaeal large subunit ribosomal RNA", at positions 1 to 105 of the family's 2987-position model. The record is from RNAcentral. Lineage: Archaea; Thermoproteati; Nitrososphaerota.
UCCGUAAUGCACCGACGCCGUAUGGUGGAUGACUUGGCUUGGGUGGCGACGAAGGACGUGGCAAGCUGCGAAAAGCCCCGGGGAGGAGCAUGCAGCCUUUGAUCC